CGUAGGGUGCGAGCGUUAAUCGGAAUUACUGGGCGUAAAGCGUGCGCAGGCGGUUUAGUAAGACAGGCGUGAAAUCCCCGGGCUCAACCUGGGAACUGCGCUUGUGACUGCUAAGCUAGAGUACGGCAGAGGGGGUGGAAUUCCACGUGUAGCAGUGAAAUGCGUAGAGAUGUGGAGGAACACCAAUGGCGAAGGCAGCCCCCUGGGUCGAUACUGACGCUCAUGCACGAAAGCGUGGGUAGCAAACAGGAUUAGAUACCCUGGUAGUCCACGCCCUAAACGAUGUCAACUAGGUGUUGGGAGGGUAAAACCUUUUAGUACCGGAGCUAACGCGUGAACGUUGACCGCCUGGGGAGUACGGCCGCAAGGUUA
This 372-nucleotide ribosomal RNA is filed under the name uncultured organism. Its description in RNAcentral is "bacterial SSU rRNA". It matches the Rfam family "Bacterial small subunit ribosomal RNA", at positions 526 to 896 of the family's 1533-position model. The record is from RNAcentral.